This 500-nucleotide ribosomal RNA is filed under the name uncultured bacterium. RNAcentral's name for it is "partial 16S ribosomal RNA". It matches the Rfam family "Bacterial small subunit ribosomal RNA", at positions 30 to 523 of the family's 1533-position model. The record is from RNAcentral.
AUUGAACGCUGGCGGCAUGCUUUACACAUGCAAGUCGAACGGUAACAGGGUGCUUGCACCGCUGACGAGUGGCGAACGGGUGAGUAAUGCGUCGGAACGUGCCGAGUAGUGGGGGAUAACGCAGCGAAAGUUGUGCUAAUACCGCAUACGUACUGAGGUAGAAAGUGGGGGACCUUCGGGCCUCACGCUAUUCGAGCGGCCGACGUCUGAUUAGCUAGUAGGUGAGGUAAAGGCUCACCUAGGCGACGAUCAGUAGCGGGUCUGAGAGGAUGAUCAGCCACACUGGGACUGAGACACGGCCCAGACUCCUACGGGAGGCAACAGUGGGGAAUUUUGGACAAUGGGCGAAAGCCUGAUCCAGCCAUGCCGCGUGUCUGAAGAAGGCCUUCGGGUUGUAAAGGGCUUUUGUCAGGGAGGAAAUCCCUAGUGCUAAUAACACUGGGGGAUGACAGUACCUGAAGAAUAAGCACCGGCUAACUACGUGCCAGCCGCCGCAGUAA